UUUUUGUCCUCGCAUCUAUUUAGGGGUCCUCCUAAAGUGGGGAAAGGAAGGGGCCUGAGGCUGUUAGGAAUGGUGGGAGUUGAAGUCCAAGACAUCUGGAGGCCCCAGGUUUGCCCAGGCCAGCCACAACCCUCUUCUAUCCCACUCGCUAUUUCCCAGACCAGUCUACUUCUUGCCCAUGCCCGGUGUAGAUGCAGCCUCAGCUCUGGCGCUCUUGACCCAGAUGGCACCAGAAAGGCGUGGUGUUGACACAAGCAUAGAAAGGCGCGCCUGCCUUGCCCAGGUCCAAAGUUUAUGCAAAGUUCUGCAAGUCCUCCUUAGUGAUUUACAUUAUAGCCUUUUGAAGCAGGAGAGUGGCUUGGAGUGUCAAGCGAAGCCUUUUCCUUGGGUCCGCUGUGGUUUCUUAAGCAGCAGCCAAACAGAGCCCAAAAGACCCAGCAGGAGCCUUCUCAUUCAGCUUUUCCUGCUCUGGCCUCCUCUCCUCCCUUGGCGCAUUCGCUUUCCCCGGACUUUUCAAAGUGCUCAGACUCCCUCUAGUGGAAGAUAGUGAGAUCGCACUUUACCUAGACAUUUCUUAAUAAAUGUCUUGGUAAAGGAAAUAGUGCCUGGGGGAGUCCAUCUACUCUGUAGAAUUAGUACAGUUUGGCACCACUUCAGCUUAUUUAUUUAUCGUGUCAAAAGCAAGCUGAGAAUACAAUUAUAAUGUAUAGAAAAACCACAAACAAAGCUAAAAACUUGACAUUAUGCUAAAUAUCCUUUGACCAGAAACUGUCACUGUGAGAAGGACCUCCAUUGUGUAUGUGACAGGGCUCAGAUCGCAUUGCAGUAAGUGGUCUGUGGUUUGCUCUUCUCCACACUUGCAUGUUGUGGACUCCACUUGGUAGCCCAUUUCUUAAGAUUAGCUUUGCAUCUCGUAGCACCAGAGUGUGGUCUCUUCUGCGCCUUCAAUGUGUGCCCAGGAGGGAGUUUCUCAUCCAGUGUCAGCCACUGAUUGAGGUUUCAGAUUUUAACCUGCCACUUUUGGACUCUCGCUUGCUGAGGUGUUCCUAUGAGUAUCUCAGUACAUCUUAAGAAGCUAUUUCUUGAUUUAAGGUAUUGGCUUGCUGGCUGAUAUCCGAACAGAGGAUGGGUCAGAGAUGUCACUGCCUUGGUCCUUUCAUUACUGACUGCUACUUCCUGAUGAAUGUCAAGUGCUGUAAUCCCAGCUAAACAGUAUAAUUUCUCCAGCAGUGUAGGGCAUAGACAUCUUGUGAUAAUGCAGCAUGCCUCAUUAAAAGUCACAUCCACUGUUUUAAUAUGGUGAGAUGUAUUUCAUACUGGGUACGCCCAGAGUCCCUUUGGGGAGAUAGAGUGGAAUAUAAAUAAAGUUUUAUUAUUAUAGUUUUAUUAUAUUAUGCAUACUCAGCAGCAGAGUAGCAAAGCUCCAGCGCAGAUGUCUUCACUGUGUCUGGUUGUGAUUCCCAGGUUGUGCCAAUCAGCUUUCGUAUGAUAUUAUUUCUGGUACCCACUUUUUGCUUGAUAUUCAAGUAGUGCUUCUUGUAAGUCAGAGCACGGUCCAGGUACUUUGCUGUGCUGCAAUGCUCCAGUGGGAUUCCUUCCCAGGUAAUCCUCCGAGCUUGGGAUGCUUGUCUGAUCUUAAGGUGAAAGCACACAUCUGCAUUUUAGAUGGGUUAGGAAUCUGCUGGUUUUUCCUGUAAUAGGCAGUAAGAGUGCCUAAUACUUCAGAGAGCUUCUGUUCAACCAUGUCAAAGCUCCCUACUUGAGCAGUGAUGGCAUGAUCGUCAGCAUAGAUGAAAUUCUUUGUACCUUCUGGCAGUGGCUGAUCCUUUGUGUAAGUAUUGAACAUUGAAGGACAGCCACUGUCCAGGCAGCCUGAUUCCUAAGCAUCUCUCAUCUGCCCAGUGGCACUUCAGAGCUUCUGAGGGCAGCAUUGGUGAACGGGACAAAGCAUGACAAUGGGGGGGGGGGCAGCUAGAGAGGAAUCCCACUUGAGAGUGCAGAAGAGGAGGUGGCAUUUGUAUAAGUGUUAAAACACUUCAGCUGUCAUGGCUCAAUGCUAUAGAAUUCUAGGAAUUGUAGUUUGGUAAGGCAAGAGCACCCUUUGGCAGAGAAGGCUAAAGUUUUGUAAAACUAUAACUCUCAGGACCCCAUAGUUUUGAGCCGUGUCAAUUGAAGUGGUGUCAAACUGUAUUCAUGUCAGUGUAGGUCAGGCAUGGGCAAACUUCUGUUAGGAAUUGUGGGAGUUGAAGUCCAAAACACCUGGAGGGCUGAAGUUUGCCCAUGCCUGGUGUAGAUGCACCCAUAGGUUAGCUUUUGAGAGAAUACUUAAAUUCAAGGCUGGGUUAACUAUUAAGCAAAAUAAACAUGCUCUUUGGGCCUCAAAAGAAAUAGGAGCAGCAAAGAAAUUUUCAAUUGCCAGAUAUAUAUAUAGAUAUAGAUAUAGAUAUAUAUCCCACUUAGGAGCCCCUGAUGGCACAGUAGGUUGAGCUGCUAAAAUUGCUGAUCAAAAGGUCGCAGGUUCAAAUCCAGAGAGCUGCGUGAGCUCCCACUGUUAGCCCCAGCUACUGCCAACCUAGCAGUUUGAAAACAUGCAAAUGUGAGUAGAUCAAUAGGUCCCACUCCAGCAGGUAGGUAACGGUGCUCCAUGCAGUCAUGCUAGCCACAUGAUCUUGGAGGUGUCUAUGAACAACGCUGGCUCUUCGGCUUAGAAAUGGAGAUGAGUACCAACCCCCAGAGUCGGACACGACUGAACUUAAUGUCAGGGGAAAACCUUUAGCUUAUAUCCUGCUUUGUAAUUGAGACACAAAAUGUCUCACAACAAUAAGUAAAUCCAUACAAUUUUAGAAUAUCGAUCGUAUAAAUAUUAAAAUAUGAUUAAGCAUACAAAAUUGGUUAAAACUUGGAUUAAUAAAUGGUGCAAAACAGCAAAUGCUGCAGCUGAACCAAGCCUCGCAAAAAGGAUCUCUCACAUAGUAGAAAACUUUUCAAAUGUAAUUCAAUUGGAAAUAUUAUUUUUAAAAAACCAUUAUUUUCCAGCUUAUAAAUUUCCAUGUUAUGGUUUCUAAUUGUUUAUAUUUUGAAUUAGAUAAAUAUGGAAGCAUCAAAGUGCUUAGGGCCUCUAAAGGUCUUAAUCCAUCCCUACCUGAAUUCAUGUCUGUGGGAACAUAAGGAGUGGAAUGAAUCACUCUAGAGUGUAGUGUGGUCUCAUCACAGCAGUGGGGGAAACCAUGUGACCCAGGAGAUGUUGGUCUGCAAGGCCCAGUUGCCCUGGCUAACUUUCCCAGUGGUGAUUGCAGUCUCAUAUAGACAAAUAUGGAGCAAUGCUAACAUUUGUAAAAGAUGAGAGGAAGGACUUGGUCUAUUUUAAGAGAAAUCUUUUCCCAAGAUUUAUGGUAAUAAAUAUGUCCUAUUACAUCUGAUUCCUGUUGAUGUCCUGCAAAGAAUUUUCAAGCAGAGCCUGAGGUUGGUGUCAUAUUUCAGGAUAUAGUUUCUGGAAAUGAGGACAAGUCAGACUGUUGUGAAAAAUACAGCAGAGACUUGUGACACCUUCAGGGCUGUUAUGAUCAAGUCACUCGUAGCCCGCAUCACCUCCUCGCAGGAAAGGAAAGAGAAACAUUCACCUUGAAAGCACCAGGCACUUGAAGAGUCUUUUAGGACUUUGCAGACAUCAGGACAUCUUAUGCUUUGAAAUCCGUUUUUGAUCCCCUAAAGCUGUUGCUGAAGAAGAGAGCCUUAGGAAAGCAGCUUGAGAACCAUGGUUUGAAAAUUAAUUAUUGCAUAGCAUGGCUAAUAGUUAUAAAUCCUUUCAUAUUUUAUUUCAAACACUAUACACUUAUACACUUGUAAUAAAAGAAUAAACUAUUAACCUUUU
Long non-coding RNA from Anolis sagrei ordinatus, 3871 nucleotides. RefSeq lists it as uncharacterized. NCBI's taxonomy places the organism in Eukaryota, Metazoa, Chordata, Lepidosauria, Squamata, Anolidae. The record is from RefSeq and is a predicted model, not a curated record.